UUCACCAUUGUUCUGCACAUAUGUGCUUGCAUACAAGUGUCCAGUGGUUAUAUUCAUGAGGCAUUCAAGGGACUUGUACUAAAAGAUACAACUCAGUUCAGUAUGAAUUGCAUAUUUUAAUGGCUGAAAAUAUAUCUGAUCUCUUUCAGAACAUCACCUGUCUGUAAUCCACCUGCUUAAGUUCUGGUCAAGGGGCUCAUCGGCUAUCAAAUUAUAGAUUUCAGUGGCUAAUAGAAGACACUGCUGAGGUCAGACGAGAGUGCAUCCUCAAAGGUCUGUGUGUACCUAAAUGAAGAUCCAGAGAAGCUGGUGAGGGAGUACAUGGACGUUGAUGAAUGUGCAGAAAUGGCCAAAGCCGAGACUGUCCUCGGAAUCGUCAUUUGAGCAGAGGGUGCAGAGGCUGCCGAUGCACAUCUGGAUGUUGGGAUUGUCCUGGAGGGGGUGGAAGUUAUGAACAGCUUGGGCAGUGUAUCUUCUGCAAUAGUGAUGCUGCUGGGACUAAUCUACGCACUAAACUUGAGCUACCCUCAA
Long non-coding RNA from Poeciliopsis prolifica (blackstripe livebearer), 531 nucleotides. RefSeq lists it as uncharacterized. The record is from RefSeq and is a predicted model, not a curated record. Lineage: Eukaryota; Metazoa; Chordata; Actinopteri; Cyprinodontiformes; Poeciliidae. The transcript is spliced from 3 exons.